UAUUAUACUAAAAAAUAGAAUAUAAACCCAGAUUAUUAAUAGAUAUAUUCUUUAAAUUUAAAGAAUUUGGCGGUAAUUUAGUCUUGUCAGAGGAACCUGUUUCUGAAUCGAUAAACCACGAAUAAUCUUACUCAUUCUUGUUAAAAUAAUCCAGCUUAUAUACCGUCAUUAGAAGAUAAUUUUAAAAGAAUAAAUUGUUGGGCUUUACAAAAAUUAAUUAAGUAAAAUUAGAUCAAGGUGUAGCUGAUGAAUGAGUUGAAAUGGGUUACAAUAAAAUUUAUUUAGAAUGGAUUAACUAAAGAAUAUAUUAGUUAUAAAGGAGGAUUUGAUUGUAAGUUAGGUUUAAUAUGCCUAGGAGAUAUAAGCCCUAAAUUAU
RNAcentral lists this ribosomal RNA (376 nucleotides) under Platyxanthus orbignyi. Its description in RNAcentral is "partial 12S ribosomal RNA". Lineage: Eukaryota; Metazoa; Arthropoda; Malacostraca; Decapoda; Platyxanthidae. The record is from RNAcentral.